RNAcentral lists this long non-coding RNA (2280 nucleotides) under Homo sapiens (human). RNAcentral describes it as "non-protein coding lnc-ATIC-2:8". Lineage: Eukaryota; Metazoa; Chordata; Mammalia; Primates; Hominidae. The record is from RNAcentral.
GAGUGGCUGGACUUGUGUGAAGCGAAGGGGUUGCAAGACGCUCCCCCUUCCCUUUUCUUUUUUAUUGGGGGUGGUGGUAGUGUUUGAGGACAUUGCGUCACCUCUCUUCGGGGUGGAGGGGGGGAAUCUCUGCUUAUAGGAGUGUAUUUUGUGAGGAAGAAAACCCAUAAAAUAUCCACGACCUUGCAGCUGUUAAGAAUCCAGACUUUUCAGUCCCAGGGCGGGGCUGCCUUUCCCCCCAUCCCGCUCCCUUUCUUUGGACUAAAGGGAAAGCCUUCCUUUCCUGGGGAUGGGACGCCCGUUUCCACUGAAAGUGAAAUCACUGUGAACAACCUGAAAAUUGGAAAGUUGGACCAGCUGUGGGGAGAGAAAGGUCUUCGUGUCCUUUCCCACGUUCACCGUGCCAGUUACACACAAAGCAGAGAUUUUUUUGCUUGAAUCAUUAAAAGCCGGGUGGGUGGGGGGCACCCUAUGUACUGUCUUGCCCUCCUUCGGCCCCUUUCUCACAUUUAUUUGCCAUUUUCUUUUUGCUGACAAGUUCCAUUACAGAAUGCCCCCUCCAUCCCCCGCCGCCAGAUUUUUUAUAUUUCAAUUGUUAUUUACUCCAAGAGUGUGGAAAGUUCUCCUUUAAGAUUCCCCCGCCUUGAACUCUAAACUCAGAGUGGAAAGGGAAUCUGAAAAGUCUCUCAUUUAGCAACACAUCACAUCAGUCCUUUUUGUCAGAUAAACACAGGCACAAUUGCUUUUAAAGAUCUUCAGAAGGAGGAGUCCACCACUUCCACAGUAGAUCCAGAGAGACCCGAACUGAAUGCUUUGCCUUCUCCUUGUGUUAGGAGUUCAGAGGUUCCAUUUGCUUUAAAACACAAGAAGCUACUAAUAAAAUAUAUUUAUUUCGGCAAGGUACCUAUUUUCUCCAAAAGUUUCACCUUCAGUAAUUGCCACAGGAGUAAUUAGAACUCUGUGUUCUAUAAAAUGCCUGACACAUUAAAGACACAAAAUUAGCAUUUGUUUUUAUUCAUGCAAGGAUUUAAAACCAAACCAAAACAAAGCAAAACACCCAGCAAAUAUCAGUUUCCUACAAAUAGUGUAAAAAAACCUCUUGAGGAAUCUUUGUGACCCACACUCCAAAUUGAAAGAGUGCCAUGGAUUUCCCCAAAUUUAGAAUCCUGUCUGGGUUAGAGGAUUUUUUUGGAAUUUCUCAUCACUUGACAAAACAGUUUUCUCUUUUCAAAUAUAAAAGAGCUCCUUGUAAAAUGCUUGGUAAAUUUCUGGGAAGCCGAGUGUUUCUUCCAGAGGGAAGGAUACCUGGAAAUCCGGAUGUAAGCAAGAUAAACCUGUAGCUAAAGCUUUCUUAAAAUUCAUUGAUUCUGGGGGAAGGAAAUAAGUGAUUAGAAAAGUAUUUGGUCAACCAAAACCAUGAUAGUUUGAUAUAUUUACUGCACUGAAAAUACACUAGAAUCAUAUGCAUAGUGGAGCUUGAAGUGGAAAGCCCACCUUACAUUUUGGAAGAAACUUUUAUAUUUCAAUCCCAUAGAUAUCUAAUUUAUUUAAGGAAACAGGAUAUCUCUGUCUCAUAAGAAAAAAAAUAACAUCUGACUGAUUUUUAUAGGAAUGCUUGGGAGUUUACUCUUUUACUUGAAAGGUUUUUUUUUUUUUUGCCUUUUUUUUUAAACUUUAGAAACAGAGGCGUUUCUUAGUUAAGAUAACAGGGCUUACUACAGUAUUCUUUAAUUAUCAAGGUCCCUUGUAACUCUAAGUCUGUUAUCUCUAAUUGGAGAGAUAAUUAAAUCUUAAAGACCACUCUGACUCUAAUUCAACCAACGUGUGUGGUGUCCAGGAUCGUUGGACUUCCUUAAGAAUUCUAUUUUAUCCAGGUGGGUUCUUCCUCAGUAAAUUGUAUUCUCCUAUUGGUAGGAAAUACUCUUGGAUUUCUUUCUUUCUUUCUUUUUCUUUCUUUCUUUCUUUCUUUCUUUCUUUCUUUCUUUCUUUCUUUUUCCUUCUUUCCUUCUUUCUUUCUAAAACUGUAUUCAGAGAGAGAAAUGUGACAAAAAAAGGGAAAUCAAUAGAGACAGAAAGUAGAUUCAUGGGUACCCAAGUUUAUGGGCUGGGAACAGGAAUUAACUGUAAAAGGGCACAGGGAAUCUUAUUGAGGUGAUGGAAAUCUGUGUUCUAAAACUACAUUGCAGUGAUGACUGUACAAUUUGGUAAAAGCUUCAAAAUUCUGGGGAUUAUACACAAAAUGAGUGAAUUUUACGGUAUGUAAAUUAUGCUUCAAUAAAG